CAUCCUGAUCUGCCUCUUCUGGGUCAUGACAGGGCAGAGUGGGGGAAGGGGCCAAGACAUUGAGAAUGGAAGGCACGAUUGAGCUUCCUAUGGCAGCUUCGGCUCCAAACUGCUGGUGACCUUGACCAAACUGUCAAAGCUUUCUGGGCCUCAGCAUCCCCAUCUUUCAGGAAGGGACACCCAAAUCAUUCCUGCCGUCUUCCCACUUUCCCGGGGUGUUGAGAGGCUAAGCUGGGCCUACCUUCAUCGAUGAUAGUUCACCGUGUGCCCCGGGGUCAUAUGGCUCAUAACAUGAUGAUGGGGCUCAGCCUGGAUCAACCACGUGCCCAGAGCAGCCCACCGGGAGGGGAGGACAGAACGCGAGGUGCCAGUGAGCAUGAGGCCCACCCCCUCUCCGGCACUGAGAGGAAGUUAUGCCAUUUGUGAGGACACACAAGCUGCCUAUGGAGACAUCCACAUGAGGAGUGGCUGAGGCUUCCAGCUGAGAACCAGAGAGGAACUGGGGCUACCUGCCAAAAGCCAUGUGAACGAGCCAUCCUGGUAAAUGCCCAGCACUAUGCAAGCCUUCAGAUGACAAGAGCCUCAGCCAACAUCCCAACUCUAACUACGCGAAAGACUCUGAACAAAACCACCCAGCUGAGAUGCUUUUGGA
Nyctereutes procyonoides (raccoon dog) is the source of this 652-nucleotide long non-coding RNA. RefSeq lists it as uncharacterized. The transcript has 3 exons. NCBI's taxonomy places the organism in Eukaryota, Metazoa, Chordata, Mammalia, Carnivora, Canidae. The record is from RefSeq and is a predicted model, not a curated record.